This 493-nucleotide ribosomal RNA is filed under the name uncultured bacterium. RNAcentral's name for it is "partial 16S ribosomal RNA". It matches the Rfam family "Bacterial small subunit ribosomal RNA", at positions 30 to 523 of the family's 1533-position model. The record is from RNAcentral.
AUUGAACGCUGGCGGCAUGCCUAACACAUGCAAGUCGAACGGUAACAGGUUAAGCUGACGAGUGGCGAACGGGUGAGUAAUAUAUCGGAACGUGCCCAGUCGUGGGGGAUAACGUAGCGAAAGCUACGCUAAUACCGCAUACGAUCUACGGAUGAAAGCGGGGGAUCGCAAGACCUCGCGCGAUUGGAGCGGCCGAUAUCAGAUUAGGUUGUUGGUGAGGUAAAAGCUCACCAAGCCUGCGAUCUGUAGCUGGUCUGAGAGGACGACCAGCCACACUGGAACUGAGACACGGUCCAGACUCCUACGGAAGGCAGCAGUGGGGAAUUUUGGACAAUGGACGCAAGUCUGAUCCAGCAAUGCCGCGUGCAGGACGAAGGCCUUCGGGUUGUAAACUGAUUUUGUACGGAACGAAACGGUGAGCUCUAAUACAGUUUGCUAAUGACGGUACCGUAAGAAUAAGCACCGGCUAACUACGUGCCAGCCGCCGCAGUAA